This 501-nucleotide long non-coding RNA is filed under the name Elaeis guineensis (African oil palm). RNAcentral describes it as "long non-coding RNA (EGUI_LNC016353)". Lineage: Eukaryota; Viridiplantae; Streptophyta; Magnoliopsida; Arecales; Arecaceae. The record is from RNAcentral.
UCUUUGUUCAUGAAGAUUUAAGAUCCAAGCAAUACCGGUUACAUUACGUAUUGUGAUUCUUUUAUUUAUGAUUCCUAGAUGAUUUGUUCUUAUUCAGUUACAAGCAGUGAAUUUGUGUUCAUUCCCUUUAUGCAUCCACCAUUUUUUGAUUAUGGUAAUGAUAUUGCCCUGAAGGGGUCCAGCUUGCUGUUACAACUCUGGAUCAAUUCUGUCGCAUACCCUUUCUGAUCGGACUUAUGUUUAGCGGUUGUGAUGGAUCUUAUCAGCAGUUGUGACUUCUUCCGUCACUUGAUCCGAUGUUGGAUUUGGCUUGUUGUAAUAGCAGUGAUUUGCUGAGACAGCAUUACUUCUUACUGGCAUGCUUUUCCUGUAUAAUUAACUUAUCAGAUCAGGACUUGGAUGUUAGACUAUUUAGAAUGUAUAGUUUUCUUGUUUCUGGCAUCCCAGAUUAAUUUUAUCAUUUGCAGCAAGCCUUUUCCAUUCAUAUUAAGGGAAGGGACA